This 253-nucleotide ribosomal RNA is filed under the name uncultured bacterium. Its description in RNAcentral is "partial 16S ribosomal RNA". It matches the Rfam family "Bacterial small subunit ribosomal RNA", at positions 524 to 776 of the family's 1533-position model. The record is from RNAcentral.
UACGUAGGGGGCAAGCGUUGUCCGGAAUCAUUGGGCGUAAAGCGCGUGUAGGCGGCUUGGUAAGUCUGCUCUGAAAGCCCGGGGCUUAACCCCGGGUCUGCAGUCGAUACGGGCAGGCUAGAGUGUGGUAGGGGAGAUCGGAAUUCCUGGUGUAGCGGUGAAAUGCGCAGAUAUCAGGAGGAACACCGGUGGCGAAGGCGGAUCUCUGGGCCAUUACUGACGCUGAGGAGCGAAAGCGUGGGGAGCGAACAGG